Long non-coding RNA from Bubalus bubalis (water buffalo), 562 nucleotides. RefSeq lists it as uncharacterized. The record is from RefSeq and is a predicted model, not a curated record. The transcript is spliced from 2 exons. NCBI's taxonomy places the organism in Eukaryota, Metazoa, Chordata, Mammalia, Artiodactyla, Bovidae.
UGUUGCUGGGGCCCGACGGGGCCGAGGGAGGGGAGUUGGCUGCGGCCGAAGGUUUGAAAUCCUCCCUGAGAGGAGCAUGUCGGGAAUAACCGCCGCGGUCCCGGUAGCCGGCCCUCUGCAGGGCCCCGGGUGACACUGUCCUCUCCCGGGAGGCGCCCGCCCGGCCAGGCUCAGCACCCAAGGACGCAGUCAGCGCCAACCCGUCACGGCGACUCCGAGCCCUGCGCGCGUCCGGCGCCGGGGAAGGGACGUGAGCGGCUCACCCGGAUCGCGGCUUAUACCGCGGCUGCCCGGUUCGCGGGUCCCGCGGUCCUUGGCACCCGAUGGUUCCCCGCCGUGGGGCGUCACUGAAGGCGGCUUUGAGUUCCCGAGUUAAGUUCACCUAGCCGUGUAACCAGUCUCUUACGAUGCAAGAUCGAUGAAGUAGAAAUGAAGAAAUCAACAGAUGAUCAAAUCUCUUCCGUAGCUUCACCUUCAGCAAUCUUUCAAAUAAACUGUGUGAACAAGAUAACAUCUAAAUAAAGAUCAUGAGUCCUCAAGGACUUACUUUACUUAAAAUUCA